This 82-nucleotide microRNA precursor is filed under the name Petromyzon marinus (sea lamprey). RNAcentral's name for it is "mir-218 microRNA precursor family". It matches the Rfam family "mir-218 microRNA precursor family". Rfam says of the family: The extents of the hairpin precursors are not known. In this case the mature sequence in excised from the 5'arm of the hairpin. Lineage: Eukaryota; Metazoa; Chordata; Hyperoartia; Petromyzontiformes; Petromyzontidae. The record is from Rfam by way of RNAcentral.
CGGUUUUCCGUUGUGCUUGAUCUAACCAUGCGAUGGGGAGCUACGGUAACACCAUGGUUCUGUCAAGCACCACGGGACGCCG